GGAGGGGUGGCCGAGUGGCCGAAGGCGCUGGUUUGCUAAACCAGUAUAGGGGUGACUCUAUCGUGGGUUCGAAUCCCAUCCCCUCCG
RNAcentral lists this transfer RNA (87 nucleotides) under Lasius niger. It matches the Rfam family "tRNA". Rfam says of the family: Transfer RNA (tRNA) molecules are approximately 80 nucleotides in length. Lineage: Eukaryota; Metazoa; Arthropoda; Insecta; Hymenoptera; Formicidae. The record is from Rfam by way of RNAcentral.